AUGAAUUUUGAAAGGGGUUGUAGCUGGUCUUUUCCGAGACAUGUGCACGCCCUGCUCAUCCAUUCUACCCCUGUGCACACUCUGUAGGUCGGUUUUGAAGUGAUUCCUCACGGAAUUGCUCGGGCCUUCCUAUGUUUUCAUAUAAACACUUUAAAGUCAAAGAAUGUAAUCGCGUGUAACGCAUUUAAUA
RNAcentral lists this unclassified non-coding RNA (190 nucleotides) under uncultured Basidiomycota. RNAcentral describes it as "sequence contains ITS1". Lineage: Eukaryota; Fungi; Basidiomycota. The record is from RNAcentral.